Molecule: unclassified non-coding RNA, 210 nt
Filed under: Hevea brasiliensis (rubber tree)
Lineage: Eukaryota; Viridiplantae; Streptophyta; Magnoliopsida; Malpighiales; Euphorbiaceae
Source: RNAcentral
AAUAGAAAUAGGCAAGAGGAUAUACAGUAAAGGGAAAUAACAGAAAAAGGAAAAAAAAUAUAAUUCCUGUAAUGUGGGAAAUGGGAUUCCAACACUCCCUUCAAGUUGGUUCAUGUAUAUCACACAUGCCUAAUUUACAAAUUAGAAUAUGAAACAAAUUACUGCUUAAGCCCUUAGUAAACACAUCGGCUAACUGUUCUUUUGAAGACA